This 315-nucleotide ribosomal RNA is filed under the name uncultured bacterium. RNAcentral's name for it is "bacterial SSU rRNA". It matches the Rfam family "Bacterial small subunit ribosomal RNA", at positions 28 to 334 of the family's 1533-position model. The record is from RNAcentral.
GACGAACGCGUGGCGGCGCGCCUAACACAUGCAAGUCGAACGGAGCGUUGAGAGAGCUUGCUUUUUUAAGCUUAGUGGCGAACGGGUGAGUAACGCGUGAGUAACCUGCCCUGGAGUGGGGGACAACAGUUGGAAACGACUGCUAAUACCGCAUAAGCCCACAGCUCGGCAUCGAGCAGAGGGAAAAGGAGUGAUCCGCUUUGAGAUGGCCUCGCGUCCGAUUAGCUGGUUGGUGAGGUAACGGCCCACCAAGGCAACGAUACAUAGCCGACCUGAGAGGGUGAUCGGCCACACUGGGACUGAGACACGGCCCAG